Long non-coding RNA from Nothoprocta perdicaria, 320 nucleotides. RefSeq lists it as uncharacterized. The transcript is spliced from 3 exons. Lineage: Eukaryota; Metazoa; Chordata; Aves; Tinamiformes; Tinamidae. The record is from RefSeq and is a predicted model, not a curated record.
AGCAGCUAAGACUUGCUGCUGGAUUACUUUUGCUGCGGCAUGGAGUUCUCCUCCGGUAGAGCUGAUCCGAAAUGUGUUUUCCCUCGCCCUCCAAGCAGUUGCUGUGAUGUUAUGCCACAGAUGUCCAUAAAAUGAUGCCCAUCGUGAUGUUUACCGGAGCUGCAAUCAAGUGUGUUUUGGAUACAUUUUUAGUCCUUGAAUGUGGACCUCAUCCUGUACAAGUCCCACGGGUGCAAGUUCCGGUAGCACAAUAUGGAUUUGUCUGUGGUAGCGAGGAGAACAUCCUGAUUAAGAUGAAUGGGCGUGGAGGUGGAGAGAAA